ACGAGGUAGCAAUACCUAGUGGCGGACGGGUGAGUAACGCGUGGGAAUCUGCCUUUAGAUGGGGGAUAACGGGUCGAAAGACUCGCUAGUACCGCAUAUGACGAAAGUUGAAAGGAGUAAUCCGUCUAAAGAUGAGCCCGCGUCCGAUUAGCUAGUUGGUAGAGUAAAAGCCUACCAAGGCGACGAUCGGUAGCUGGUCUGAGAGGAUGAUCAGCCACAAUGGGACUGAGACACGGCCCAUACUCCUACGGGAGGCAGCAGUGGGGAAUUUUACGCAAUGGGCGAAAGCCUGACGUAGCGACACCGCGUGAACGAAGAAGCCUCUUGGGGUGUAAAGUUCUGUCAGCUGGAACGAAAAAAAUGACGGUACCAGCAGAGGAAGCAUCGGCUAACUACGUGCCAGCAGCCGCGGUAAGACGUAGGAUGCAAGCGUUGUCCG
This 439-nucleotide ribosomal RNA is filed under the name uncultured bacterium. Its description in RNAcentral is "bacterial SSU rRNA". It matches the Rfam family "Bacterial small subunit ribosomal RNA", at positions 66 to 547 of the family's 1533-position model. The record is from RNAcentral.